ACCUGACUGGCUCUGUAGGUAGAGCAUAAGAUCUUCAUCUUGGGGUUGUGAGUUUGAGUCCCAUGUUGGGUA
Molecule: transfer RNA, 72 nt
Filed under: Mustela putorius furo (domestic ferret)
Lineage: Eukaryota; Metazoa; Chordata; Mammalia; Carnivora; Mustelidae
Rfam family: tRNA
About the family: Transfer RNA (tRNA) molecules are approximately 80 nucleotides in length.
Source: Rfam by way of RNAcentral